CAGGUAGGGAUACCCGCUGAACU
This 23-nucleotide ribosomal RNA is filed under the name Stromatinia cepivora. RNAcentral's name for it is "Sclerotium cepivorum partial 28S ribosomal RNA". Lineage: Eukaryota; Fungi; Ascomycota; Leotiomycetes; Helotiales; Sclerotiniaceae. The record is from RNAcentral.